RNAcentral lists this long non-coding RNA (446 nucleotides) under Ananas comosus (pineapple). RNAcentral describes it as "long non-coding RNA (ACOM_LNC015269)". The record is from RNAcentral. Lineage: Eukaryota; Viridiplantae; Streptophyta; Magnoliopsida; Poales; Bromeliaceae.
ACACCUGACCCCAGAGUGUGUCAGAUCCGCCACAAAUAUAGGGAAUCCACUGUUCACACGGACAGAGUCUCCCCUGUAUUUGCACGGCGUCGCACAAGUACAAUUACACAACCAGAGUACAACCAGAAUACAACCACAACCAUAUGAACAUACGACAACAACCGCACAUACAGACGUCCAUACAUUCACCAUUCACAACACGAAUGUAUCCAUAAUUUUGAACAUAAAUCCAGAUCUAUCAUUUGAAACGUUUCCUACCCGGAAACAAGUUUGAAAUACUAAGUUUCAGAAAUCCAUUGAAAGCUCCUUUUAAAACUGUUUCCCACACGGAAACCUUAUCUUUUAAAACGCUACCACGAGGGGUAGAAAACCAUCGAAAACUGUAUCGAAUAUGAAAACCCUUUUCUUUUUAAAACAAGCGCUACCACGAGGGGUAGAAAACUAUU